UACGAAGGGGGCUAGCGUUGCUCGGAAUCACUGGGCGUAAAGCGCACGUAGGCGGAUCUUUAAGUCAGGGGUGAAAUCCUGGAGCUCAACUCCAGAACUGCCUUUGAUACUGGGGAUCUCGAGUCCGGAAGAGGUGAGUGGAACUCCGAGUGUAGAGGUGAAAUGCGUAGAGAUCUGGAAGAACACCAAAGGCGAAGGCAGCGUCCUGGGAAGCAUCUGACGCUCAGGUGCGAAAGCUAGGGGAGCGAACGGG
This 253-nucleotide ribosomal RNA is filed under the name uncultured bacterium. RNAcentral describes it as "partial 16S ribosomal RNA". It matches the Rfam family "Bacterial small subunit ribosomal RNA", at positions 524 to 776 of the family's 1533-position model. The record is from RNAcentral.